This 2926-nucleotide ribosomal RNA is filed under the name Escherichia fergusonii. Its description in RNAcentral is "23S ribosomal RNA". It matches the Rfam family "Bacterial large subunit ribosomal RNA". Lineage: Bacteria; Pseudomonadati; Pseudomonadota; Gammaproteobacteria; Enterobacterales; Enterobacteriaceae. The record is from RNAcentral.
GGGUUGUGAGGUUAAGCGACUAAGCGUACACGGUGGAUGCCCUGGCAGUCAGAGGCGAUGAAGGACGUGCUAAUCUGCGAUAAGCGUCGGUAAGGUGAUAUGAACCGUUAUAACCGGCGAUUUCCGAAUGGGGAAACCCAGUGUGAUUCGUCACACUAUCAUUAACUGAAUCCAUAGGUUAAUGAGGCGAACCGGGGGAACUGAAACAUCUAAGUACCCCGAGGAAAAGAAAUCAACCGAGAUUCCCCCAGUAGCGGCGAGCGAACGGGGAGGAGCCCAGAGCCUGAAUCAGUGUGUGUGUUAGUGGAAGCGUCUGGAAAGGCGCGCGAUACAGGGUGACAGCCCCGUACACAAAAAUGCACAUAUUGUGAGCUCGAUGAGUAGGGCGGGACACGUGGUAUCCUGUCUGAAUAUGGGGGGACCAUCCUCCAAGGCUAAAUACUCCUGACUGACCGAUAGUGAACCAGUACCGUGAGGGAAAGGCGAAAAGAACCCCGGCGAGGGGAGUGAAAAAGAACCUGAAACCGUGUACGUACAAGCAGUGGGAGCCUCUUUAUGGGGUGACUGCGUACCUUUUGUAUAAUGGGUCAGCGACUUAUAUUCUGUAGCAAGGUUAACCGAAUAGGGGAGCCGAAGGGAAACCGAGUCUUAACUGGGCGUUAAGUUGCAGGGUAUAGACCCGAAACCCGGUGAUCUAGCCAUGGGCAGGUUGAAGGUUGGGUAACACUAACUGGAGGACCGAACCGACUAAUGUUGAAAAAUUAGCGGAUGACUUGUGGCUGGGGGUGAAAGGCCAAUCAAACCGGGAGAUAGCUGGUUCUCCCCGAAAGCUAUUUAGGUAGCGCCUCGUGAAUUCAUCUCCGGGGGUAGAGCACUGUUUCGGCAAGGGGGUCAUCCCGACUUACCAACCCGAUGCAAACUGCGAAUACCGGAGAAUGUUAUCACGGGAGACACACGGCGGGUGCUAACGUCCGUCGUGAAGAGGGAAACAACCCAGACCGCCAGCUAAGGUCCCAAAGUCAUGGUUAAGUGGGAAACGAUGUGGGAAGGCCCAGACAGCCAGGAUGUUGGCUUAGAAGCAGCCAUCAUUUAAAGAAAGCGUAAUAGCUCACUGGUCGAGUCGGCCUGCGCGGAAGAUGUAACGGGGCUAAACCAUGCACCGAAGCUGCGGCAGCGACGCUUAUGCGUUGUUGGGUAGGGGAGCGUUCUGUAAGCCUGCGAAGGUGUGCUGUGAGGCAUGCUGGAGGUAUCAGAAGUGCGAAUGCUGACAUAAGUAACGAUAAAGCGGGUGAAAAGCCCGCUCGCCGGAAGACCAAGGGUUCCUGUCCAACGUUAAUCGGGGCAGGGUGAGUCGACCCCUAAGGCGAGGCCGAAAGGCGUAGUCGAUGGGAAACAGGUUAAUAUUCCUGUACUUGGUGUUACUGCGAAGGGGGGACGGAGAAGGCUAUGUUGGCCGGGCGACGGUUGUCCCGGUUUAAGCGUGUAGGCUGGUUUUCCAGGCAAAUCCGGAAAAUCAAGGCUGAGGCGUGAUGACGAGGCACUACGGUGCUGAAGCAACAAAUGCCCUGCUUCCAGGAAAAGCCUCUAAGCAUCAGGUAACAACAAAUCGUACCCCAAACCGACACAGGUGGUCAGGUAGAGAAUACCAAGGCGCUUGAGAGAACUCGGGUGAAGGAACUAGGCAAAAUGGUGCCGUAACUUCGGGAGAAGGCACGCUGAUAUGUAGGUGAAGCGACUUGCUCGUGGAGCUGAAAUCAGUCGAAGAUACCAGCUGGCUGCAACUGUUUAUUAAAAACACAGCACUGUGCAAACACGAAAGUGGACGUAUACGGUGUGACGCCUGCCCGGUGCCGGAAGGUUAAUUGAUGGGGUUAGCGGUAACGCGAAGCUCUUGAUCGAAGCCCCGGUAAACGGCGGCCGUAACUAUAACGGUCCUAAGGUAGCGAAAUUCCUUGUCGGGUAAGUUCCGACCUGCACGAAUGGCGUAAUGAUGGCCAGGCUGUCUCCACCCGAGACUCAGUGAAAUUGAACUCGCUGUGAAGAUGCAGUGUACCCGCGGCAAGACGGAAAGACCCCGUGAACCUUUACUAUAGCUUGACACUGAACAUUGAGCCUUGAUGUGUAGGAUAGGUGGGAGGCUUUGAAGUGUGGACGCCAGUCUGCAUGGAGCCGGCCUUGAAAUACCACCCUUUAAUGUUUGAUGUUCUAACGUUGGCCCGUAAUCCGGGUUGCGGACAGUGUCUGGUGGGUAGUUUGACUGGGGCGGUCUCCUCCUAAAGAGUAACGGAGGAGCACGAAGGUUGGCUAAUCCUGGUCGGACAUCAGGAGGUUAGUGCAAUGGCAUAAGCCAGCUUGACUGCGAGCGUGACGGCGCGAGCAGGUGCGAAAGCAGGUCAUAGUGAUCCGGUGGUUCUGAAUGGAAGGGCCAUCGCUCAACGGAUAAAAGGUACUCCGGGGAUAACAGGCUGAUACCGCCCAAGAGUUCAUAUCGACGGCGGUGUUUGGCACCUCGAUGUCGGCUCAUCACAUCCUGGGGCUGAAGUAGGUCCCAAGGGUAUGGCUGUUCGCCAUUUAAAGUGGUACGCGAGCUGGGUUUAGAACGUCGUGAGACAGUUCGGUCCCUAUCUGCCGUGGGCGCUGGAGAACUGAGGGGGGCUGCUCCUAGUACGAGAGGACCGGAGUGGACGCAUCACUGGUGUUCGGGUUGUCAUGCCAAUGGCACUGCCCGGUAGCUAAAUGCGGAAGAGAUAAGUGCUGAAAGCAUCUAAGCACGAAACUUGCCCCGAGAUGAGUUCUCCCUGACCCUUUAAGGGUCCUGAAGGAACGUUGAAGACGACGACGUUGAUAGGCCGGGUGUGUAAGCGCAGCGAUGCGUUGAGCUAACCGGUACUAAUGAACCGUGAGGCUUAACCUUACAACGCCGAAG